GCCUCCGUAGUUCAAGGGAUAGAAUAGCGCUCUGUCGAAGCGUAAGAUGCGGGUUCGAAUCCCGCCGGGGGCA
Molecule: transfer RNA, 73 nt
Filed under: Thermodesulfovibrio aggregans
Lineage: Bacteria; Pseudomonadati; Nitrospirota; Thermodesulfovibrionia; Thermodesulfovibrionales; Thermodesulfovibrionaceae
Also listed under: 3 other names
Description: tRNA-Asp
Rfam family: tRNA
About the family: Transfer RNA (tRNA) molecules are approximately 80 nucleotides in length. Their secondary structure includes four short double-helical elements and three loops (D, anti-codon, and T loops). Further hydrogen bonds mediate the characteristic L-shaped molecular structure. tRNAs have two regions of fundamental functional importance: the anti-codon, which is responsible for specific mRNA codon recognition, and the 3' end, to which the tRNAs corresponding amino acid is attached (by aminoacyl-tRNA synthetases). tRNAs cope with the degeneracy of the genetic code in two manners: having more than one tRNA (with a specific anti-codon) for a particular amino acid; and 'wobble' base-pairing, i.e. permitting non-standard base-pairing at the 3rd anti-codon position.
Source: RNAcentral